This 435-nucleotide ribosomal RNA is filed under the name uncultured bacterium. Its description in RNAcentral is "partial 16S ribosomal RNA". It matches the Rfam family "Bacterial small subunit ribosomal RNA", at positions 29 to 507 of the family's 1533-position model. The record is from RNAcentral.
AGCGAACGCUGGCGGCAGGCUUAACACAUGCAAGUCGAGCGGGCACUUUCGGGUGUCAGCGGCGGACGGGUGAGUAACGCGUGGGAACGUGCCCUCUGGUUCGGAAUAACUCAGGGAAACUUGAGCUAAUACCGGAUACGCCCUUUUGGGGAAAGGCUUGCUGCCGGAGGAUCGGCCCGCGUCUGAUUAGCUAGUUGGUGAGGUAACGGCUCACCAAGGCGACGAUCAGUAGCUGGUCUGAGAGGAUGAUCAGCCAUACUGGGACUGAGACACGGCCCAGACUCCUACGGGAGGCAGCAGUGGGGAAUAUUGGACAAUGGGCGCAAGCCUGAUCCAGCCAUGCCGCGUGAGUGAUGAAGGCCUUAGGGUUGUAAAGCCCUUUUAUCCGGGACGAUAAUGACGGUACCGGAGGAAUAAGCCCCGGCUAACUUCGUG